This is a long non-coding RNA of Stylophora pistillata, 329 nucleotides long. The record is from RefSeq and is a predicted model, not a curated record. NCBI's taxonomy places the organism in Eukaryota, Metazoa, Cnidaria, Anthozoa, Scleractinia, Pocilloporidae.
GCUGAUAAAAACUCCUACUGCCCAUUACUCGCAAGGUACUGUAGGAAUCAACUAGUGCAAGCACAAUGCCAGAAGACAUGUGGAGCAUGUGGCGGCGGUGGUGGUGGUGUUGUCUGUCAGGACUCCACCGUGUACUGCCCGUUCUUUAAGAAUCGUUGCUCAAACAUAAUUGUGAGACUGAAGUGCAAGAAGACGUGCAAUGCUUGUUGAACGAAAGGAGUACUCAGAUCACUGCAUUUGAGGGACACGUGGAGAAAUUUAGAAUUCUAGAUCUUCAUAGUCAUUCUGAUGUAGCCAAAACUGAAUAAAAGGCGAUUUGAUCUGACUUG